Molecule: transfer RNA, 74 nt
Filed under: Aspergillus leporis
Lineage: Eukaryota; Fungi; Ascomycota; Eurotiomycetes; Eurotiales; Aspergillaceae
Rfam family: tRNA
About the family: Transfer RNA (tRNA) molecules are approximately 80 nucleotides in length. Their secondary structure includes four short double-helical elements and three loops (D, anti-codon, and T loops).
Source: Rfam by way of RNAcentral
GUCUGGGUGGCGCAAUUGGUUAGCGCGUAUGACUGUUAAUCAUGAGGUUGAGAGUUCGAGCCUCUCCCUGGACG